ACAGUUGGAAGUCGCGGGUUGAGC
Molecule: non-coding RNA, 24 nt
Filed under: Arabidopsis thaliana (thale cress)
Lineage: Eukaryota; Viridiplantae; Streptophyta; Magnoliopsida; Brassicales; Brassicaceae
Source: RNAcentral